Lytechinus pictus (painted urchin) is the source of this 1576-nucleotide long non-coding RNA. RefSeq lists it as uncharacterized. The record is from RefSeq and is a predicted model, not a curated record. The transcript is spliced from 3 exons. Lineage: Eukaryota; Metazoa; Echinodermata; Echinoidea; Temnopleuroida; Toxopneustidae.
CUUUGCCAAGACCACGUCGUGGGCUACGGGAUGCUAGAAAUCCAUUGGAAUCGUACGAGGAUCGAGAUCGGUAUCGACUGUCAAAAGAAACCGUCAUUUACAUCAUCAACAUGCUGGAAGCCGAAUUGAAGAGGGACACACAGAGGAAUGAUCCACUUCCCGUUUAUUUGCAGGUGUUGACGGCUCUCCGUUUUUAUGUGGAUCAUUUCAAAAGAUGCAUGGUGAUGAGGUAGCAAUAUCACAGUCAUCAAAUGAAUGUGUCAAAUCAUCAAAGAUGUUUCGGAAGCUAUAGCAAGAAGGAAGAGGCAAUACAUGAAGUUUCCUUCGACAAGAGAACAAGUUGAAGCAACUCAGCGACAGUUCUACCAGUACUGUAGAUAUAUCAGGAGCCCUGGUGGGGAUCAGGCAAUAUACUUCCUCAACAGGAAGAGUAGAUACUCGGUCAAUGUACAGGUUGUUUGUGAUCAGGCUGGGAAAAUAACAAGCAUCGUUGCCAGAUGGCCUGGCAGCACACCUAACUCCGCAACCGUAAGUCACUUUUCAACCAAACUUGGAUGGUAAAUGUACUUAGGCGACCUGCAUGUUAUGCUGCAGUCGGAGGUCACAUGGUAAGGUCAAAGUGUUCCACAAUGGACAUAAGUUUUUGUAGAAAUGUACCAAACCCGACGGUGCUCUCACUCCAUGAUGUGUCACUGCAUCGUAGCAAUCCAGUCGGAUUUGAAAUGGUCUACACAUGUUGAAUAUAUGGUCAAGCGCGCAAAUAGUCGUUUAUAUGUUCUUCGCACUUUGAAAUAUCAUAGUCUGUAAUUUCAGGACCUUAUAGUUGUAUAUACUAGUUUCGUGAGACCAGUUGUUGAAUAUGCUGUACCUGUAUGGUCAGGAGCACUAACAAAACAACAAGUACAAGUAAUCGAACGUAUUCAGAAACGUGCCCUUAGAAUCAUUUUUGGAGCAGCAUAUUCUUCAUAUGAGCAUGCUUUACUCCAGUCAGAACUGAUGUCUCUUGAAGAUAGAUGGAUCAAACUCUUGUCUUGCGUUUGCGAAGUCUAUGCAAAUCCCCACGUCUAAACUGUAUCACCUUCUACCUCAAAAUAGGACUUGUCAAUAUCAGACUAGAAGCUUGGCCAGAACAGUAGAGAUGCGAUGUCGAACUUCACGAUAUAGAAAUAGCCCCUUGCCCUCGUUGAUUCGGCACCUUAAAGAGAAAUUCCAGUAGUUGCAGUAAACACUGAUUUCAUGAGAAAGUCUGUAAAACAAGACUUAAUUGUCAGUAUAUCAUCGAGGAUCUAGAUCUGGUACAGUUACAUAAACUGAACUUUGUGAAAUCUUGAAAUCUAUGCUGAAAAAUGUUCAGGCUGAAGAUCCCCAACACAGAUAAGCGCACGUGGGACAGUGUAUAAUUAUUGCUUCGAAUGUCGGGCCCGACGCUCUACCCGAAUCCUGUGCUUAUUUGCUGAUUUCUCAGCAAUUACACAAUUUCUUCCAGAAUCCUUUGGCACAUAUGUUUUAUUUAUACAAACAGACACUUUGGUGGUCAUUUCAUUGGAUUCUGUACGAACUCAUUUUGAUAUCGUUA